Molecule: transfer RNA, 72 nt
Filed under: Alligator sinensis (Chinese alligator)
Lineage: Eukaryota; Metazoa; Chordata; Crocodylia; Alligatoridae
Rfam family: tRNA
About the family: Transfer RNA (tRNA) molecules are approximately 80 nucleotides in length. Their secondary structure includes four short double-helical elements and three loops (D, anti-codon, and T loops). Further hydrogen bonds mediate the characteristic L-shaped molecular structure. tRNAs have two regions of fundamental functional importance: the anti-codon, which is responsible for specific mRNA codon recognition, and the 3' end, to which the tRNAs corresponding amino acid is attached (by aminoacyl-tRNA synthetases). tRNAs cope with the degeneracy of the genetic code in two manners: having more than one tRNA (with a specific anti-codon) for a particular amino acid; and 'wobble' base-pairing, i.e. permitting non-standard base-pairing at the 3rd anti-codon position.
Source: Rfam by way of RNAcentral
GGGUCUAUGGUGUAAUGGUUAGCACACUGGACUUUGAAUCCUUCAAUCUGAGUUCAAAUCUCAGUAGAACCU